Molecule: long non-coding RNA, 1323 nt
Organism: Apis cerana (Asiatic honeybee)
Lineage: Eukaryota; Metazoa; Arthropoda; Insecta; Hymenoptera; Apidae
Source: RefSeq, a predicted model, not a curated record
GCUAUUGAUCAUUGCAACGCCUCAUAAAUAGAUUCAUGAGGUGAAAAGUUCGAAAUCAUUGCUCUAUGACUGAAUAAAUGGCAUUAGAUUUGGUUGCAACUUCAGGCGCAACUCGUGUAUCGAAUUACAAUGCGAUUGUGAUUCCAUUCCUAACCUCUACAGUAAAGCAACAGAUUACAUGUGAGUCGAUAUUUCUCCUUGUAGUAUUCUCAUUAUAUUAUAGCGUUAAAGUUGUAUAAAAAAAAAAGUAUUUGAAAAGAGAAAAUCACAAUGCACAUAUGAUUCGUAUAAGGAAAUUAAAAAGAUUAAUGAAAAACUAUUAAAGAUCGAUCCAUUAUAAAAAGUAUUAAAGAAAAAGGAAAAUUAAAGGGAAAGUGAUACAAUUGCGAGAAGAAAUCUCAUUCUCAUUUAUCAACUAUUAUAGUCGAGCUCUAUUAGCCAUGGAAGACGAUGAAUAAUCACGUGCAUUAUGCUGUCAAUAAAUAUCGACAUGUUUUAAAAUAUCAUUUUAACGAGCAAACAAGUGCGAUUUAUCGAUUAUGAUCUUAGAAAAACGAUAACACUUUCAACUUUACUGAACGAACAGAAAUAAAAUGAUAUCGAUAAUAUGUGACAUAUGUUUCGUAUCUGCAAUAUAUAUUUUUUCACAAUUAUAUCGAUUUUCUUGGUAUUCAUAAUCUUCUUUACUCGACUUUUCAUAGUUUGCAAUAAAUUUUAAUAUUUUUUUAUGUUUGAUAUAUAAUAAAAAUGUUAUAUAUUUAUAAUUAUAUAUUUAUAAUUAUAUAAAUAUAUAUAAUAUAUAUAUUUAUAAUAUUAUUUAUAAUUAUAUAUUUCGAAAUGGAAUUAAUUAAUAUACUUAAACAAUAAUACAAUAAUACAAUAAUAAUAAUUCUUAUAAUAAUUUUUAUAUAUUUCUUAAUCUUAAUUCUAACAGUUUUCCUCAUUGCAAUUGUUCGAGAUAAAAAUAGUAUUUUUUGCAUUUUUACGAGAUGUCUUUCAUUUUAUUAUAUCUCGAAAUCAAUAUGUUUUUUUUGCUGAAUUAUAUACUUUAAUUGGUGCAAAUUUAAUUAGUUUUCUAAGAAUGGUUUAAUCGAAAGUUUAAAAAUUAAUUAAAAAUAAAAAUUGAAUUUCGUGCAAGUCAAUGAUACUACAUAGAUCAGAUAAUUAUCAGUCGACUGGAUAAAAUCUAUGCAAACUUAAAAAUUUUCAGAAUUUAUUAAAAUUUUUACAAAUUCAUAAAAUUUCUUGUAAAGAAUUUUAAAAAAUUUGUUUCGACCUAUAAUUUUUAAUUUUAACGAAUAUUGUAAAUUAAAGAAUUUGUAA